Molecule: ribosomal RNA, 274 nt
Filed under: Symbiodinium sp. CCMP2430
Lineage: Eukaryota; Dinophyceae; Suessiales; Symbiodiniaceae
Description: partial Bacterial small subunit ribosomal RNA
Rfam family: Bacterial small subunit ribosomal RNA
Source: RNAcentral
UUGAAGAGUUUGAUCAUGGCUCAGAUUGAACGCUGGCGGCAUGCCUAACACAUGCAAGUCGAACGGCAGCAUAAGAGAGCUUGCUCUCUUGAUGGCGAGUGGCGGACGGGUGAGUAAUGUAUAGGGAUCUGCCUGACAGUGGGGGACAACAGCCGGAAACGGCUGCUAAUACCGCAUACGCUCUACGGAGGAAAGUGGGGGACCUUCGGGCCUCACGCUGACAGAUGAACCUAUAUCAGAUUAGCUAGUUGGUGGGGUAAAGGCCUACCAAGGC